UUUCUAUGAAGAUAACUUUGUCCAGUUCUGCUACUGAAUGAUAAUGAUCGAUAUUAGUGACUCUGAGAAAA
Molecule: small nucleolar RNA, 71 nt
Filed under: Salmo salar (Atlantic salmon)
Lineage: Eukaryota; Metazoa; Chordata; Actinopteri; Salmoniformes; Salmonidae
Source: RNAcentral